RNAcentral lists this ribosomal RNA (138 nucleotides) under uncultured eukaryote. RNAcentral's name for it is "partial 18S ribosomal RNA". It matches the Rfam family "Eukaryotic small subunit ribosomal RNA", at positions 1299 to 1458 of the family's 1831-position model. The record is from RNAcentral.
UGGUGGGUUGCCUUGUCAGGUUGAUUCCGGUAACGAACGAGACCUCAGCCUGCUAAAUAGUAACACAUACUUUUGUAUGUGCCUUACUUCUUAGAGGGACUAUUGGCGUUUAGUCAAUGGAAGUGUGAGGCAAUAACA